UUUCACUGACAAAGCAUCAACUCUUUCUUUAAGACUGGAGAGGUCAGUUAUAAUACAAGUGAUUCAUUUUUCAGGAGGAUUUGAAAGAACAUUUUUAGAGUCUGAGGCCAUUGUGAUUAUGCCCAGAAUCCAGAAAAGGUCAAAACUGGUGGAAGACAUGCAGGAGACCAUGAAUCUCAAGAAACACCUCGUCCAAUCCCCUAGCAAGAUUCAAUCUGCUCCAGGUGUUUAUUUCUCUUACGUUUAUCACCAGAUUCCUGGCUUCAGAAAGUUAGAAUAUCUUCCCAAUUUAAGAAAACUGCUUUCCAAACUUCCAGGUGCUUUAACCAUAUCAUAGUUAUGCUGACU
Molecule: long non-coding RNA, 348 nt
Organism: Candoia aspera
Lineage: Eukaryota; Metazoa; Chordata; Lepidosauria; Squamata; Candoiidae
Exons: 3
Source: RefSeq, a predicted model, not a curated record